AUACGGAGGGUGCAAGCGUUACUCGGAAUUACUGGGCGUAAAGGACGCGUAGGCGGUUUUUAAAGUCAGAUGUGAAAGCCUAUGGCUUAACCAUAGAACUGCAUUUGAAACUUCUAAACUAGAGUGAGGGAGAGGUCAGUGGAAUUAGUGGUGUAGGGGUAAAAUCCGUAGAGAUCACUAGGAAUACUCAUAGCGAAGGCGACUGACUGGAACUUUACUGACGCUGAGGCGUGAAAGCGUGGGGAGCAAACAGGAUUAGAUACCCCAGUAGUCC
Molecule: ribosomal RNA, 274 nt
Filed under: uncultured bacterium
Lineage: Bacteria
Description: partial 16S ribosomal RNA
Rfam family: Bacterial small subunit ribosomal RNA
Source: RNAcentral